This 563-nucleotide ribosomal RNA is filed under the name uncultured bacterium. Its description in RNAcentral is "bacterial SSU rRNA". It matches the Rfam family "Bacterial small subunit ribosomal RNA", at positions 338 to 916 of the family's 1533-position model. The record is from RNAcentral.
CCUACGGGAGGCAGCAGUAGGGAAUAUUGGACAAUGGGCGAAAGCCUGAUCCAGCAACGCCGCGUGCACGAUGACGGCCUUCUGGUUGUAAAGUGCUUUUAGGAGAGAUGAGAAAGGACAGUAUCUCCUGAAUAAGCCUCGGCGAACUACGUGCCAGCAGCCGCGGUAAAACGUAGGAGGCAAGCGUUAUCCGGAUUUAUUGGGCGUAAAGCGCGUGCAGGCGGUUUGGUAAGUUGGAUGUGAAAGCUCCUGGCUUAACUGGGAGAGGUCGUUCAAAACUACCAGACUAGAGAAUGGGAGAGGGAAGUGGAAUUCCGGGUGUAGUGGUGAAAUGCGUAGAUAUCCGGAGGAACACCAGUGGCGAAAGCGGCUUCCUGGACCAUUUCUGACGCUAAGACGCGAAAGCUAGGGGAGCGAACGGGAUUAGAGACCCCGGUAGUCCUAGCUGUAAACGAUGUAGACUUGGCGUUGGCGGAGUUAAAUCUGCCAGUGCCGGAGCUAACGCGUUAAGUCUACCGCCUGGGGACUACGACCGCAAGGUUAAAACUCAAAGGAAUUGACGG